GCCCCACAAAGCCCUUGUGAGGUGUAGCCUGCCCAAUGGCUGUUAAUAAACUCUAAAGACAGCUAAAUGGCCGCGGUAACUCUGACCGUGAUAAAGUAGCAUAAUCACUCGUCACUUAAUUGGUGACUGGAAUGAAUGGCUAAACGAACCCCCCUCUGUCUCCAAGAAAAUUCCGGCGAACUUGAAAUGACAGUGAAGAUGCUGUCAAGCAACUGUAAGACGAAAAGACCCUAUCGAGCUUUACUGGAAGCUUGCAGAUUUAAAAGGACGUUAACCUGCACGUCUUCAAAAACUGCAAGCCCGACAGUUUGGUUGGGGCGACCACCCCUAAGAAAGUAUCAGGGGAACUCUAAAGGUAAUUACUAAAUGGAAAAUGCCUUACUGAAAACAAACAAGUCAACCAGUUACUAUAGGUAGGACAUAAUGACCCGUUACAUCAAUCACGAAAUGUAACGACCACGAAAAAAGUUACCGUAGGGAUAACAGGGUAAUAUUUUCGGAGAGUUCAUAUCGAUGAAAAUGUUUGCCACCUCGAUGUUGAAUUGUGAUAUCCUAGGGGUGCAGCAGCUCCUAAGGGUUG
RNAcentral lists this ribosomal RNA (580 nucleotides) under Aurelia sp. 9 LGD-2017. RNAcentral's name for it is "partial 16S large subunit ribosomal RNA". It matches the Rfam family "Bacterial large subunit ribosomal RNA", at positions 1829 to 2574 of the family's 2925-position model. Lineage: Eukaryota; Metazoa; Cnidaria; Scyphozoa; Semaeostomeae; Ulmaridae. The record is from RNAcentral.